This 99-nucleotide non-coding RNA is filed under the name Massiliimalia timonensis. RNAcentral describes it as "THF riboswitch". It matches the Rfam family "THF (Tetrahydrofolate) riboswitch aptamer". Rfam says of the family: THF riboswitch presents a pseudoknot that joins P1-P2 and the loop of P3 and two THF binding. RNAcentral also lists the same sequence under 1 other name. Lineage: Bacteria; Bacillati; Bacillota; Clostridia; Eubacteriales; Oscillospiraceae. The record is from RNAcentral.
GCAGAGUAGGAUCUUGUGCGUUAAGUGCUGUAUGAACGGGGAGUUGUCAUAUAGACGAAAGGUAAGGUUACUUGCGGUACAAGGUUCGCAUCCCGCUGC